Molecule: long non-coding RNA, 8912 nt
Filed under: Capsicum annuum
Lineage: Eukaryota; Viridiplantae; Streptophyta; Magnoliopsida; Solanales; Solanaceae
Description: long non-coding RNA (CANN_LNC006222)
Source: RNAcentral
CUUUUUACAAACUCAUAAUUUUUCUUUCUGUACAGGAUUAACAGUGACAGAUGAUACGAAUCACUCCAUCGAGGGGCCCAACAACUGAUCCAAUAUCAUAUAGAGAAGCCCAACAACUAAUCCAACAUUGCAUUGAGAGAUUUAACAACCGAUCCAACAUCAUAUCGAGAGUCCCAACUGUCGAUCCAACAUCAUAUCGAGAAGCUGUUGGAGGGGCCCAACAACUGAUCCAAUAUCAUAUAGAGAAGCCCAACAACUAAUCCAACAUUGCAUUGAGAGAUUUAACAACCGAUCCAACAUCAUAUCGAGAGUCCCAACUGUUGAUCCAACAUCAUAUCGAGAAGCCCAACAGCUGAUCCAACAUUGCAUUAAGAGGCCCAACGACUGAUCCAACAUUACAUUGAAAAGCCCAAUCAUUGAUCCAACAUAAUAUCGACAAGCCCAACAGCCGAUCCAAUACUACAUCAAGAUACCCAACAACCGAUCCGACAUCAUAUCGAGAAGUCCAACAACUGAUCCAAUAUCACACUGAGAGGCCCGACAACUGAUCUAUCAAUACAAUAGAUAUGCUUUCUUUACCGUCACAUUUACUUUAUGUUUUAUCAAUUGCUUAUCAUUUACAUGCCCUAACCUUAUUAUUUAGUAUACUGUAAAGUACACAGGUAACUGAGAAGGAGUAACAAUCAGGAACAAUUUUCGCUCCUACUUUCGAAGUAUCACCCCAUUUAUUCACUCGUCAUGAAAACAUAACUUGAAACUCUAAUCCUAUUUUUUAUUUCAUACCUCUCAACCCAUCGUUGUUUCAAUUUUGUUCAUUGCAAUUUUACCAACCCGCGAUAUUGUUACUGAUGGUCGCCCUUUACCAUUGUCAUUCUUUAGGAAUCUCAUUCGUUCCUAAAUCCAAAACUACACACGGCCCGAUUCUCGUAAAACCUGAGAUAUGUAGGAGACAUAAACAAAAAUCUCGACCAUGAGACAUAAACAAAAGUCUCAACCUCAUUAUUUUUAAAACCACCUCUUGUUGCUUUAAUUCCAAUGAACGAUUCUCUCGGUCAAAUAAAAUUGAUUACUACGUCAACUUUCAUUACUCGACAAUUCAUUUAUCAUUCUUAAGCAACGAAGGGGCAGCUGUUGACACCCAAUAUUGACCUCUCAAUACUCUUCUUAAAUAUUAUUAUUUUUUGCGCAUUAUUUUAGUAUCAAAUAAAAUUUUAACGUAUAACAUUCAUGAUUUAUAAAUAUGCACUUUAUCUUAUCAAGUGCUUUUAUAUUUUUUAUAGCAUAUAUAAUUUAAAUAUAAUAUUUUAUAUAAUUUUGUCAAUAUUUACUAAAUUAUUUUCGCAAAUAUGCACUCAUAAUUAACAAAAACAUUGGUUAUUAUUAUUAUUAUUAUGUGUAAUGGUAUAAUAAUUUAGUAUUUCUUUCCUACACUUAGUAAUUUAGUAGUUAACUAUGGUAGAACUUUAUUUAAUCCAAAACAAGUUUAUAAUUAAAAAUUCAAAUUUGAAUUUUUUUAAAAUCUUCCCAUAUCCUCCUAAAAUCUUUUCUUUAGGUAUAAGGUUAUUUUUUUCUCAAAAUCAUUUCAAAUUAAUUUUACAUAUGUUAUUUUUACUCCCUCCAUAUCCAUAAAAUCUUUGGAAGAAAUCAAAUAUUUUUUAUUACAGUAAAGAAUAUUAUUUUCCCAAGAUAAGGCUUCUUAUCAUUCUUUUUAUCAUUCUUUUAAAUGAAAAGAUAUUUCGUGUCUAUUUUUAACUCCCUCAAAUAUUCUCUCUCUAAAAUUUCUCUCUCCUUUUUCUCUAGAAAUCUCAGCUGCAGUUUCUAAGCUGCUAUGGCCUCAACGUCCGGUGGGUCUAUCCCACCGGUGAUUAUACCUGCAAAGGAAGAUCAAAGUAACUUGAGUCAAGAAGAAAGGAAUUUGAAACCUAUGUAUGCUAAUAUACUGAAACCUCGUAUGGUGGAUAAUAGCAAGUAACGAAUAGUGCCUAAAAAUAUUCAGAUUAUUGAAGGAGAACCACAUAUUAUAUGGAAAACACCAGAGAUCAACAAUUUGAUAAUACAAGAAAACUUACAAUAUGCAGUAAUAGGUAAGUUUUCUUAUGGUAAACUUUACAUUAGUGAGUUUAGGAGAAAUAUACCAAAUCAGUGUGGUAUUAAAGGCGUUGUAAUACAGGGGUUUUGGAUUCAAGACACAUUCUUAUCAGGUUUAGUAUGGAGGAUUAUGUAAACAUUAUAUCUAAUUCAGUAUAUUACAUAAAGGGAAAGGAGAUGCAAUGGCAGAUGAGGACUCUUAAAUGGGAUCCGUGGUUUGAACCUGAUGUGGAAACAACAGUUAGUAUAGCCUGGAUAUCAAUGCCUGAUCUUCCACCUAACUUUUUUGCAAAGGAAGCAAUAUUUUCAAUCGCUGUAGCAGUUGGAAAACCUUUAUCAGUGGAUAUGGCAACAAAAAAUCAGACACGACCAAGCUGUGCAAGAGUUAAGGUAGAGGUGGAUCUGCUAGCCGAAUUACCUCGAAGAGUGAAAAUAUGUGAAGAGAAUGACGUAACAGGGAUGAAGAAGUCUAAAUGGAUAAAUAUUCAAUAUGAUUACAAGCCCAAAAAUUGUAAAGAUUGUUGUCUUUAGGGUCAUAAUGAGCAAUAAUGUUGGAUUAUUCAUCCAGAACUAUAUGAAUAUCAGAAGAAAGUGCAAGAUGAAAACAGCAAGACUAAUUACAAGGGGGUGGAAAUCAAAAAGAGGGAACAACAGAACUAUGGAAGAAGAAAUGCAAGGAAAUUCACCAAACAAUGGUUAGCUAGAAUGAAUAAGUACAAAAGGGACAAACAUGGUCACAUAGUGGGUGAAAUAGAAGUAGACAACAUAGUAGAUGGUAAAGUUCCAAUUACAAAUGCAUUUACAGCUGUGUCUCUGGAACAACAGACAGAAGAAAAUGGGGAUAAGGUGAAUGAAAAUAAAGGCGACAAUGAAAGGCAAAGCACAAAGGAAUAGGUCUUGAAUAGUUUCUCUGACACCACAAAAGAAAAAGAAUAUAUCAAUACCCAACAGAUUUUCGAGAAAAGAAAGGAAACAGGAGUGCAGGAAAUAGAAGAGAAGGAAAAUCAUAAAGAACAAAAGGAGUUUGUAACAAUAGACAACUUGGAUGUUAGAGGGGAUGAAAGCCAGAUUACGCAGCAACAGCAAAAUAGUAAUAAUGAUAAUAUGCAGAUGGUAAUUUUUGAUGAGAAAAAUGUACAGGAUAGAUUGAUAGAGAAUGUUUUACCAGUAGCAAUACAAGUGGAAAAUCAGGUGGAGUUUUGUAACAAGGAGAAACUGUCUUUAGAUGAAGGAUAUUUAAGUAAUGAAAUAGAAAAGGUUGGAAGAGAAGGCAAUCUAUCUCCCAGGAAAAUGGAGCAGAUGAGAAUAAAGCAGGGUGAAAGAAGAAAGGAGGACAAAGGGGUGAACUUUGGCUAAUAAUCUAACAAUGCAGACAAGAAGUUCCUUGAAAAAUAAGUCUAAAUGAAUGCUCUUAUAUGGAACAUUAGAUCAGUGAAUACUCAGAAAGCAUUCACUAGACUCAUAACAAUGCAGAAAAGACAUCAAUUCUCCUUCAUAGGGGUGUUAGAACCAUUUCAGGAUAAUGCCAUCAUAGAAGAUUAUAAGAAGAGAUUAGGAAUGAAGUUUGCAGCAGCCAAUCAUACAGGCAAGAUUUGGGUGAUUGUGGAAGAUAUUGUUGAAUGUACAGUAAUUAAGGAUGAAGAACAACAACUGACUGUAGAGUUAGUUAAUCAGCAGAAUCAUAUUCAGAUGGUGGUGACCUUAGUUUAUGCUAAAUGUUCACAGCAAGAUAGACUGGUUUUGUUGGAUCCCUUGGAGGAAUCAGCACAAACGAUGCAAAAUCCUUGGGUAGUAGGGGCGAUUUUAAUGUCAUAGUGAAUGAUGAAGAAAAGUUAGGUGGUUUACCUGUGAUAGUGGCAGAAACUGAAGAUUUCACUCAUUGUAUUAAUUUGUGCAGGCUAGAAGACAAAGGUUUAAAAUGUAGUAAAUUUAUGUGGUGGAAUGGUAGAACUGAGGGGGACUGUAUAUUCAAAAGAUUGGAUAGGGUUAUGUACAAGGAUAAAGUAUAUAACCUUUUUCCACUAUUAGAGGUGGAACACUUUGUGAGAAGUGGCUCUGAUCAUUGUCCCUUAAAGAUUCACUUUAGCACCACUACAGAACAUAUUUGUAAACCUUUUAGGUUUCUUAAUAUGUGGUUGAAAGAAAAAGGUUGUUUGGAGGUAAUCAAGGAAAACUGGCAUAUAGAAGUUUCUGGGAACCCUUUCAUUUUGUUUCAUCAGAAAAUGAAGAAAGUGAAAAAUGCCUUAACAAAAUGGAGUAAAGAGCACUAUGGUAACAUUUUUCAUGAGAUAGCUACUAUAGAGGAAGACAUUAAAGUUAAGGAAAAAUAGUUUGAAGAAAUUCCCAAUGGCUGUAACAGGGAAACUCUUUUUCAAGGCAUAAGCUGAGCUGAAUAUCCAACUGAAAAAGGAAGAAGAUUUUUGGAGACAGAAAGCUGGACUAUAAUGGUUCAAGGAUGGGGAAAGAAACACUUAAUUCUUUCAUUCUAUAGUAAGAGGAAGAAGAAGUAUGCUGAAGAUAAAUAGAAUUCAAAAUGAAGAGGGAGAAUAGAUAGAGGACCAACAGAAAAUAGUAGAUGAAGCAGUCAGGUUUUUUCAGAAUCUAUUUUCUAAGGAAGAUGAAAACACAAACUUUGACAUGCUAGAUGUACUGCCUAUAGUUAUUUCAGAAGAACAGAAUGAGGAUUUACAUAGACUUCCUGAUCUGAUAGAAAUAAAACAGGCAGUAAUGGGGUUAAGUAGAACUAGUGCAGCAGGUCCAGAUGGUAUGACAAGUGCUUUUUUUCAGGAUGCAUGGGAAAUUAUAGGUCCUGAUAUUUACAACAUGGUUGUUGCUUUCUUUUGUGGAUAUGAGCUUCCUAAAUUUGUCACUCAUACAAAUUUAGUACUCUUACCUAAAAAGGUAGUAGUCAACACUUUUUCAGAUAUGAGACCUAUAUCUUUAAGUAAUUUCUUGAAUAAGAUAUUUUCAAGAAUUCUUCAUGAGAGGAUCAAGUUAGUGUUACCAGAUAUAAUCUCUGAGGAACAAGCAGGUUUUGUGCAGGGCAGAAGUAUAAUAGAAAAUAUUUUGAUGGUGCAAGAAAUAGUAGCAGAUAUCAGAAAAAGAGAUAAAAUCCCAAACUUGGUCAUUAAAUUGGAUAUGAUGAAGGCUUAUAACAGAGUUGUUGGUUGUUCCUUACUAAAGUGUUAAGAAAAGUUGGGUUUGGGGAAAGGCUUAUUGACACGGUUUAUAGACUGGUAGGUAACAAUUGGUAUUCUAUUUUAUUAAAUGGAUAGCCAAAAGGUUUCUUUAGGUCUACUAGAGGGUUGAAACAAGGGGAUCCCCUGUCAUCUGCACUGUUUAUUAUUACAGCUGAAGUUAUGCCCAGGACCCUGAAAUCUUUGAUGCAAUCAAAGGAGUUCAAGAUGUUUGGAUUACCAAGAGGUAGUCCAAAGAUAAACAACUUUGCAUUUGUAGAUGAUAUGAUAAUAUUAUGCAAAGCAGAACUUCAUACAAUACAGCUGGUGACAAAUACUUUGGAGAGAUAUGAAAAAACAUCUGGACAAAAAGUCAAUAAGAAAAGGAGUUCCUUAUAUCUUCAUAAAGGUGUUUCUCAAGGGGUUGUGAUAUUGGCUGAGGUGGUUACUGGAAUUAUCAAAAAGGAUUUUCCACUCACUUAUCUGGGUUGUCCUAUCUUUCAUAUUAGAAAGAAGAAAGACUAUUACCAGACAAUGAUGAGCAGAAUUAGUGGAAAAAUGCAAGGAUGGAAAGGAAAGUUAUUGUCUUAUGGAGGAAGGGAAGUUCUUAUAAAGUACGUCUUGUAAAGUAUUCCUAUUCAUUAUUUAUCAGUCAUGAACCCUCCUAAGAAUGUAACGACUACAAUUGAAAAAAUGUUUGAACAAUUUUUUUGUAGUCAUAUAGGAGGUAAAAAUAGGCAUUGGGUGAAAUUGAAUAAGCUUUGUUUACCAGAAGAAGAAGGUGGCCUCAAAUUCAGAAAGAUACAAGAUGUUUCAAUGGCUCUGUUCUGAAAACUUUGGUGGAAUUUCAGAACCAAAGACCCCAUUUGGAGUUGAUAUAUACUGAAUAAAUACUUUAAGAAACCACAUCCUAAUGAAGUGGUUUGGAAACAAGGAGCAGGUUCACAGGUUUGGAAGAAAAUGCUUCAAGCAAGGGAUUUGGUGGAACAUCAGAUAUUUUGGAGGAUCAGAAAAGGAAAUUCCAAUAUUUGGUUAGAUAAUUAGAUCAAGAAAGGAGAUAUAUAUAAUAUAUUGGAAACUACAAGAGAGAAGGAAACCGAGUAUCAGAAGGUGCAGGAUUUUAGUUAAUCAAGGUCAAUGGAAAAUGCAUGCUAUUGCUCACUUGUUCUCAGCAGAGGUGGUAGACCAUAUAAUACAGAAUAUCAGAAUCCUCACCCACUCAGAGGAGAAGAAAAUUCCUAUAUGGAAAUUGGAGUAAGCAGGUUAUUUUACAGUAAGUUCAGCAUGGAAUUACCUAUGACAGAGAGGGGAAGUAAUAGCUUAUAUAAAAAAAUAUGGGUCAAAUGCAUGCCUUUCAAGAUGGCAUUUCUAAUGAGGAGAAUGUGGAGAGGAAAGAUUGCGGUAGAGGAAAAUAUGAAAAGAUGGGGUAUAGCAGGUCCUACAAGAUGUUGGUGUUGCACUGUACAGGGUCAAGAAACUCUUUCACAUGUACUGCUCAGAUCUAUUAGUGCUAACAUGACUUGGUCCUAUUUUUCUUCUUUUGUAGGUAUUAUCUUGAAUGGACAAAAUCUAAGGGAGUUAAUCCUACAAUUGAUCAAGGAAGAGCUAAACCUUACUAUCAAGCUAUUCCUAGUAUGAUAAUAUGGGAGUUAUGGAAGAGGAGAAAUUCUUCAAAAUAUGAAGGGAAAUUACUGUCUACCCACAAAGUGAUCUUCAUUAUCACUAGAAAUAUUGUAUUAUUACUUAAUGUGAGGAAUCCUAGACAAGUAUUCCCUUCUAAGUUGCCAGAUAUUCAGAGGUAAUUGGAAAGAAGAAGAAUGCAGAUUCAGUUCACAAAAGUGGAGUGGAAAUUUCCUAGUAGAGGUUAGUUAAAGUAUAACACUGAUGGAGAAUCUAGGAGCAACCCAGGGAUUACUUCAUGGGCAUACUGUCUAAGAGAUGAAAUGGGUGAUCUAAUACAAGCAGAAGGAGAAACUAUGGAUGUUUCUACUAAUAGUGAAGCAGAUGCUCAAGCUAUUCUAAGGGCAGCAAUUCAUUGUAGACAAUCAAAUCUUAACAAUAUCAUCAUUCAAACAGAUUCGAUGCUUAUGUUCAAAGUAUUAAAAAAUGACUGGCAAUGUCCAUGGGCAUUAAUAGACAUUAAAGAGCACAUUCUCAAAUUAUAGCAAGCAACGGAGGUUAAGUUCAUGCAUAUUUUGAGGGAGGGUAAUCGCUAGCGGACUACUAUGCAAAUCUAGCAACAGAUGAAGGAAAUUUUAAUGCAAACUCUUUUAAGCAGCUAGAUAGCAAAGCAAGGAGAAUUUUAAAUAGCGACAAGAUGCAGUUUCCUUAUAUUAGAGUUACAUCGAGAAAAGGAAGGUAGAGGAGAUGCACAAAAUUGAAGAAUGUACUUUCUAUAAGUGCAAUGUCAGAAUACAUCUUGUAGUCUUAACAAUAUCAAGGGAUACAAGGUUGUCCUCACUAUACGUUCACCUGGGAGUCAAUUUCAUGGAAAACUUUCAACCUUAUCUACACCAGCAAGAAGAUUUCUCAGUUAACACAAAAGAUGUUUCAUGACAACAUUAACCAUAAUCGUACAUUAAUAACUUGGGCUUCCAAGCAGGACCAGGGUCUAGAAGUAACAAAAGUGCAGCAACCUGAUCCUUUAAUCCUAUACAUAAAAGAUAUCAGCUGAUUUACCUUCAAACGUUCUCCAAUCAUCAAGAACUGAAAUUCCAAAGCAGCUCAAUGGGGAAUCUUACAGGGGAAUCAAGUUACAAGAGACAGAACCAGGCAAAUAAUUGAAAAUCCACAAUGAAAGCUCCUCAAAUGGACGAAUCAGCAUAUUAACCGCUAUCAAUAUUCUCUUGAAUUUGAGACCUUUAGACAGAAUUCGAAAGUACAAAAUGAAUUAGGAAACCCUUCUGUUUAUUUUAAUUGGAUGAAGAAAUGGGUUUGGGCCAUAACAACGGAUCCACAGAUUUAUUUUAUUUGGAUUGUUUUGGCCCAAUACAUGUAAUAUUAUUUUAAUUUGAUUGAUUAAUAAAAUCCAUAUUAAAAUAAAAAAAAUUUAACUCCCUCAUCAACGUCUAUUUUUUCUCCCUACAUAUACAUGGACAAAAAAAGAAGGCUGGCAGCGGUAAGGGCACAAGUAUAAGAAAAUCAAAGGCAUUAGCAGUAAUUGAGGAUAGUUACCGUAGCAUUCUUCCUCUUCAAUAGUUUUCCUCUAAUGCCCAAAACAGCCAUGAGAAGUCUUUUUUUUAUCAUUCUAUUUUCAUUUUUAUCCACUAGUAAAAUAGCAAUAAUUCUCAUACCAUUCUUGGACGUGAAUCCAUAGUGAUACAAAAGAUCAAACUUAUAACAAGGAAUCAAGAGAACAACAUCACUAGAGAAUCAAAGGCCCCACUCAGCUUCUCUAGGUUUUCUAGGCAACAACGACAAUAUUCAACAAGAUAAAUAAAUAACACAAGAUUGCAAUAACUAUAGUGAAUCGAAAGAGCCCCACACUGUUUUACUACAUCAAGAUACAAAUAACAAGAUUACAAAAUGAUGGAUAGUAACUUGACACAAAAUAUCCUAGAAUCUAAGAACCCUAACAUGAAGAUUAGGACCCUAAGACUAAAAGAUAUUUACACCAAAUUCUUACUUGAAUCAAGAGGAACUCGUGAA